RNAcentral lists this microRNA precursor (84 nucleotides) under Bombyx mori (domestic silkworm). RNAcentral describes it as "mir-2807 microRNA precursor family". It matches the Rfam family "mir-2807 microRNA precursor family". Lineage: Eukaryota; Metazoa; Arthropoda; Insecta; Lepidoptera; Bombycidae. The record is from Rfam by way of RNAcentral.
UUAACUCAAUUUUGUAUGGAAUUGGAAAGUUUGUCUACGUUUGCCGCCAGGGGCGCUGUUCCAAAUGCAUGCAAAUUUGAGUUA